RNAcentral lists this ribosomal RNA (357 nucleotides) under uncultured bacterium. RNAcentral's name for it is "bacterial SSU rRNA". It matches the Rfam family "Bacterial small subunit ribosomal RNA", at positions 28 to 384 of the family's 1533-position model. The record is from RNAcentral.
GAUGAACGCUAGCGGCAGGCUUAACACAUGCAAGUCGAGGGGUAACAGGGUGCUUGCACCGCUGACGACCGGCGCACGGGUGCGUAACGCGUAUACAAUCUACCUUUUACAGGAGAAUAGCCCAGAGAAAUUUGGAUUAAUGCUCCAUAGUAUUAUAAAGUGGCAUCAUUUAAUAAUUAAAACUUCGGUGGUAAAAGAUGAGUAUGCGUUCUAUUAGCUAGUAGGUAAGGUAACGGCUUACCUAGGCAACGAUAGAUAGGGGUCCUGAGAGGGAGAUCCCCCACACUGGUACUGAGACACGGACCAGACUCCUACGGGAGGCAGCAGUGAGGAAUAUUGGACAAUGGAGGCAACUCU